ACUUAAAUUGAAGAGUUUGAUCAUGGCUCAGAUUGAACGCUGGCGGCAGGCCUAACACAUGCAAGUCGAGCGGUAGCACAGAGAGCUUGCUCUCGGGUGACGAGCGGCGGACGGGUGAGUAAUGUCUGGGAAACUGCCUGAUGGAGGGGGAUAACUACUGGAAACGGUAGCUAAUACCGCAUAACGUCGCAAGACCAAAGUGGGGGACCUUCGGGCCUCAUGCCAUCAGAUGUGCCCAGAUGGGAUUAGCUAGUAGGUGGGGUAAUGGCUCACCUAGGCGACGAUCCCUAGCUGGUCUGAGAGGAUGACCAGCCACACUGGAACUGAGACACGGUCCAGACUCCUACGGGAGGCAGCAGUGGGGAAUAUUGCACAAUGGGCGCAAGCCUGAUGCAGCCAUGCCGCGUGUAUGAAGAAGGCCUUCGGGUUGUAAAGUACUUUCAGCGAGGAGGAAGGCGUUAAGGUUAAUAACCUUGGCGAUUGACGUUACUCGCAGAAGAAGCACCGG
This 508-nucleotide ribosomal RNA is filed under the name Klebsiella aerogenes. RNAcentral describes it as "bacterial SSU rRNA". It matches the Rfam family "Bacterial small subunit ribosomal RNA", at positions 1 to 496 of the family's 1533-position model. The record is from RNAcentral. Lineage: Bacteria; Pseudomonadati; Pseudomonadota; Gammaproteobacteria; Enterobacterales; Enterobacteriaceae.